UUGAACGCUGGCGGCAGGCCUAGCACAUGCAAGUCGAACGGUAACAGGAAGCAGCUUGCUGCUUUGCUGACGAGUGGCGGACGGGUGAGUAAUGUCUGGGAAACUGCCUGAUGGAGGGGGAUAACUACUGGAAACGGUAGCUAAUACCGCAUAACGUCGCAAGACCAAAGAGGGGGACCUUCGGGCCUCUUGCCAUCGGAUGUGCCCAGAUGGGAUUAGCUUGUUGGUGGGGUAACGGCUCACCAAGGCGACGAUCCCUAGCUGGUCUGAGAGGAUGACCAGCCACACUGGAACUGAGACACGGUCCAGACUCCUACGGGAGGCAGCAGUGGGGAAUAUUGCACAAUGGGCGCAAGCCUGAUGCAGCCAUGCCGCGUGUAUGAAGAAGGCCUUCGGGUUGUAAAGUACUUUCAGCGGGGAGGAAGGGAGUAAAGUUAAUACCUUUACUCAUUGACGUUACCCGCAGAAGAAGCACCGGCUAACUCCGUG
Molecule: ribosomal RNA, 489 nt
Filed under: uncultured bacterium
Lineage: Bacteria
Description: partial 16S ribosomal RNA
Rfam family: Bacterial small subunit ribosomal RNA
Source: RNAcentral